GACGAACGCUGGCGGCGUGCCUAAUACAUGCAAGUAGAACGCUGAAGGAGGAGCUUGCUUCUCUGGAUGAGUUGCGAACGGGUGAGUAACGCGUAGGUAACCUGCCUGGUAGCGGGGGAUAACUAUUGGAAACGAUAGCUAAUACCGCAUAAGAGUAGAUGUUGCAUGACAUUUGCUUAAAAGGUGCAAUUGCAUCACUACCAGAUGGACCUGCGUUGUAUUAGCUAGUUGGUGAGGUAACGGCUCACCAAGGCAACGAUACAUAGCCGACCUGAGAGGGUGAUCGGCCACACUGGGACUGAGACACGGCCCAGACUCCUACGGGAGGCAGCAGUAGGGAAUCUUCGGCAAUGGACGGAAGUCUGACCGAGCAACGCCGCGUGAGUGAAGAAGGUUGUCGGAUCGUAAAGCUCUGUUGUAAGAGAAGAACGAGUGUGAGAGUGGAAAGUUCACACUGUGACGGUAUCUUACCAGAAAGGGACGGCUAACUACGUG
This 495-nucleotide ribosomal RNA is filed under the name uncultured bacterium. RNAcentral's name for it is "partial 16S ribosomal RNA". It matches the Rfam family "Bacterial small subunit ribosomal RNA", at positions 28 to 507 of the family's 1533-position model. The record is from RNAcentral.